GUUCAUAGACAUCGAUCAGAACAACCCGCAUGCUGGUGUUUCCCGCUGGGUUCGCUGCUGUCACGUGGCCCCGCGCAUAUUUCCACAUUUAUGCAAACUUAGCGCACAACGCUGACAUCUGCUGGUAAGGAACCGGAGGAGCGUGCAGGUUCGCGUCCCAGAGUGUCAUUCAGCCCCAGAACCGGACAACUGGGAUGAUGAUGAGGAGGAGGAGGAGACAGCUGAAGUAAAGAAAACAGUCAGAGUGGUCAAAGCAGCCUGGAGAUCUCACUCCAGAGGAGCAGCUGGCUGAGAAGCUGCAAGUGAAGAAACUGCAGGAGGAGUCUGACCUGGAGCUGACCAAAGGAGGCCUUUGAUGAGAGCAGAGAGGCUCGGAGCGUCCUGGGGCUCCAUGUGGAUUCAGCUUACGUGGCACGUGACAGCGUUCCAUGGCUAUAUGCUAAUCUCUAUGCAGAUACAGACCAGGAUGUACAGAUUUCGUGCAUUAUUUUCUUCUUUGCCAGUACUAAACUCUGUGUUUGGAUGUUGAGAUGGAUGGAUGGAUGAAUGGAUGGAUGAAAGAAAAGAUACUGAAGAACACAGGUUUCUUAGUAUAGCUCUUAAAUGCUCACUCAGACUGAGCAAAUGGACAUGGAUGGAUUUAUAACAAAAAAAAAAACCCAGAGGAGUGUGAGGACCUUCCAGAACACUCCCCUGACAUUGUGAUGCCUUGUAAGCAUCAUAAGUUUUGAGUAUUAUAGUGCUUAUACAAAUGGAGUUUGUUUUAUUUUCUUUUGUUUAAAGCAGGGGUGGGGAACCUGACCCAUGGAGGGCUGCAGUGGGUGGGGGGGUUUGGGAUCACCUCUCAAUCAGCCAAUGACAGUGGGUCCCCAGGACUAGAGAUAAGUACCACUGCUUUAUUAUUGGCUGAUUGAGAGCUCAUCCCAAAACCCCCCACCUCACACACCGGCGCUCCAUGAAUGAGGUUCACCCCCCCCCCCAAUUUAAACCUACACUUAUAUUCCCAUACACCUGCCUUGCCAAAUGGCACACAUCCACGAGGAAAUGAUCAAAAAAGGGGUAUGCAUGCCCAGUGUAAUUAUGUAAACGUGUCAUUUUAGUAGGGAUUUGUCCAGAAUACAAACACUCGAUUCCUGCUCAGUGUAAUAAAUAUCCCAUUAUUUACAGUU
Brienomyrus brachyistius is the source of this 1169-nucleotide long non-coding RNA. RefSeq lists it as uncharacterized. NCBI's taxonomy places the organism in Eukaryota, Metazoa, Chordata, Actinopteri, Osteoglossiformes, Mormyridae. The transcript has 3 exons. The record is from RefSeq and is a predicted model, not a curated record.